This is a long non-coding RNA of Solanum pennellii, 1768 nucleotides long. RefSeq lists it as uncharacterized. The record is from RefSeq and is a predicted model, not a curated record. The transcript is spliced from 8 exons. Lineage: Eukaryota; Viridiplantae; Streptophyta; Magnoliopsida; Solanales; Solanaceae.
AAACCAAAAUCAAAAUCAAAACCCAACCUAUUAUUUUCUAUCCCUCUUUUCCUCUCAAAGAUUUUUUUUAAAAAAAAUGGUAUCGCCGAAAAAGGGUUUAGGCUCUCGACCGCCCACCCCACAAAAGAGGGUCCGAUGAUAAAUCUCCUUCCCGAUGUCCAAAGCAAUGUUGGUUCAUCUGGAAAAUCGGUGCUGAAACGAAGAAGCCUUGGUGCAGACUUAUAUCAGAGUUUCUGCAGAUUUGCACCGCUUAGGGUCCCAUUUGGCAGAAAGAGACAAAGAGUAUAUCAAGGAUUUUUUCAAACUUAAACACAAACUCGAGAUCUCUGGUCAAAACAGAAACAACGCCAUCCACUGCAUUGCUGAAUCAAACAGUGGAUAUUUCGGGGCAACAUUUCAUGGCUGGUGCAGGCAAAGACCUUCCUGAACAUGCAAUGAUUUGUGUGAUAAAUCGUGAAGAGUAUUCCGUGGAACAUCUUCAGGCAUUAUGAGCAAACUACUACCAUAGCAAUUUGAAUAUGAAACAUAUAGCACAUUGACGGACUGCAUUAGUUGGCAUUUGUUUGAUUCAUAUCUUAGAUGAAUUUUAUAUUGUAUAUACAAUAUGAUUAAUCAUUGUUUGUGGAAACGAUCAGUACCAAAACUCGCUGGCUUUGAUUGAGAGGAACGGAAGCAGAGAACCAUACCCUUGGGUGGAAUACUAGUGGCCUUCUCAAUUCUGGCGAUCAGAUCGUCUUCCUCUCAGUCAGUGAGCUGUGCUUACACGCCCCUGCUGUGGAUGAUCCGGACUAGUUACUCGCUAAUACAUUGUUUGAGGCUGUAUUCAAUGAGAGCCGGAAUUCGCCAUUCAUUUUGUUCGAGAAAGAUGCUGACAAAGUAAUGGCAGGAAACUCAGAAUUAUAUUCAACAUUGAAAAGUCGGCUUGAGAAGAUUCCUGAUAAUGUAAUUACUAUUGGUUCCACACGCUCAUACAGAUAAUCACAAGGACAAGGGAUGCUGCGACAUAAAAUGAAUUUGAGAAGGGUUGUGCACAGAGGAUUCUGAACGAGUUAUGAUACUCGCAGCAACAAACACGCCAUUUGAUCAGGCUGUGAUAAGGCGACUGUCCCGUAGGUUGAUGGUCAAUUUACCAGAUGCUCCAAACAACGCAAAAAUUCUAAAAAUGAUAACUCGCAAAAGAAGACUUGGCUCAUGAUGUCGAUCUGGAUUCAGUUGCAUGCAUGACAAAUGGAUAUUCCAAAAGUAACCUUAAGGUGUCUGUACUAUUCAUGUUUGCUUGGAUAAAUUACUAGUCCUAUUUCAUCAUUCUAAAAACAAAGCGUCUUCAAAUUUCUGAAUGAUGAAACAUGACUAAUCGUUUAUUAAGCAAACAUGAUUAGAAAAAACACCUUAAGGUCACAUCCUGAAUAUCCAUUUGUUGUACUUGCAAUUGAAUCCAAAUCAACAUCCUGAGCCAAGUCUUCUUUUGCGAGUAUCACUUUUGGAUCUGUGUAUAGCAGCUGCAUAUCAACCCAUUAGAGAGAUAGUAGGAAAAUAAAAGAAGUUUUAGCUUUUCUAUGUUUGAUGUUAGUUCGUUGGUUGCUUAACUAAGCUAGAAAAUAACAUGUUGGCUAAGGUAUAGCUUUCUCUGCUUGAUGUUUGUUCGUUGAUUGCUUAACUGAGGCAGAAAAUAAGAUGUUGGCUCUUCCAAUAGAUUCUUUUUUCUCCGCGAUUCUGUUAAGGAUGUCAAUUCCACUUUCUUUUGAUAAUUUUCAUGGGUUUUAGAGGA